Delphinella strobiligena is the source of this 91-nucleotide non-coding RNA. The record is from the annotation of a GenBank genome assembly. NCBI's taxonomy places the organism in Eukaryota, Fungi, Ascomycota, Dothideomycetes, Dothideales, Dothioraceae.
GGCCGUUUGGCUCAAUGGUAGAGCGUCCGCCUCCUACUCGUCUGACGAGCUUGUAAGCGGAAGGUUGUGGGUUCGAGUCCCAUGAUGGUCG